Molecule: non-coding RNA, 21 nt
Filed under: Caenorhabditis elegans
Lineage: Eukaryota; Metazoa; Nematoda; Chromadorea; Rhabditida; Rhabditidae
Source: RNAcentral
UUAUAUCCCGGAAUAAGUGGU